Molecule: ribosomal RNA, 463 nt
Filed under: uncultured bacterium
Lineage: Bacteria
Description: partial 16S ribosomal RNA
Rfam family: Bacterial small subunit ribosomal RNA
Source: RNAcentral
UACGGGGUGCUGCAGUGGGGAAUAUUGCGCAAUGGGGGAAACCCUGACGCAGCGACGCCGCGUGUAGGAAGAAGGCCUUCGGGUCGUAAACUACUGUCAGGAGGGAAGAAACUGUUCGGGUCGAAUAGGCCUGUUCACUGACGGUACCUCCAGAGGAAGCACCGGCUAACUCCGUGCCAGCAGCCGCGGUAAUACGGGGGUGCGAGCGUUAAUCGGAAUCACUGGGCGUAAAGCGUGCGUAGGCGGCGCUUCAAGUCAGACGUGAAAGCCCUCGGCUCAACCGAGGAAUUGCGUUUGAAACUGUAGUGCUAGAGUCUCGGAGAGGUUGGCGGAAUUCCAGGUGUAGGAGUGAAAUCCGUAGAUAUCUGGAGGAACACCGGUGGCGAAGGCGGCCAACUGGACGAGUACUGACGCUGAGGUACGAAAGCGUGGGGAGCAAACAGGAUUAGAUACCCGAGUAGUC